CGUGAAUGUCUAAUAUGCGAGAGCGGUAUGAAAAAUGUUUUUCGGUCAAAGUGCGAAAUUUAAUGCGGAUCCGAACUCCUCUUUAUGCAGAUUAGACCCGUGAGUUCUAUGCCAAAGGUGAAACACAGUUGCGAAAUUUAAAAAAUAUUUGGAAGGCAGGCGAAACCAGGGCGAAACGUCCAGUGCAACAAGUACUCCCGGACGAUCACACUUCGUGCUGUUAUGAAGGAACUAGUCAGAGAAACAGUCACGUACACCUCGAAAUACUGCACAUUAAAGUAACACAACUAAAAUGGUUUCGUUGAAUGCCGUACACUAAACUCUAAGGAGUUACUGUGAGCUUUCUCUAGAUGAAAUCUCAUGUGGUAAUGGCAAAAAUGAAUAAAACAAGUCCAAAAUGUUAACUGGCGACUUCCAUGAAAUCCGGCAAACGCUGUAGUCAGAAGACGACCUCGACCAUAACCCCAUUUUACACUCACAUCUAGAACCCAUUAACUCUAGUUAUGGUUGCACCCUCGGGUCAUCAGUAAUGGGGUGCGGAAACUUCAGGGAAAUUUCAUAACUCGUCCUUGUCAGAUUUAUUUUUCCUAUGCCUCCUCUUUUACAAUUUUUCUGGGCACCUGUCACCCACUACUAGACUCCUUACCUCUCCUUGCCCCCAGUGACCAAUAAAGUUAAGUAGCAACUUAAUGGAAAUUCA
Daphnia magna is the source of this 700-nucleotide long non-coding RNA. RefSeq lists it as uncharacterized. The transcript has 2 exons. The record is from RefSeq and is a predicted model, not a curated record. NCBI's taxonomy places the organism in Eukaryota, Metazoa, Arthropoda, Branchiopoda, Diplostraca, Daphniidae.